UACGAAGGGGGCUAGCGUUGCUCGGAAUCACUGGGCGUAAAGCGCACGUAGGCGGAUCUUUAAGUCAGGGGUGAAAUCCCAAGGCUCAACCUUGGAACUGCCUUUGAUACUGGGGGAUCUCGAGUCCGGAAGAGGUUGGUGGAACUGCGAGUGUAGAGGUGAAAAUUCGUAGAUAUUCGCAAGAACACCAGUGGCGAAGGCGGCCAACUGGUCCGGUACUGACGCUGAGGUGCGAAAGCGUGGGGAGCAAACAGG
Molecule: ribosomal RNA, 255 nt
Filed under: uncultured bacterium
Lineage: Bacteria
Description: partial 16S ribosomal RNA
Rfam family: Bacterial small subunit ribosomal RNA
Source: RNAcentral